This 370-nucleotide long non-coding RNA is filed under the name Homo sapiens (human). RNAcentral's name for it is "non-protein coding lnc-GHR-3:1". The record is from RNAcentral. Lineage: Eukaryota; Metazoa; Chordata; Mammalia; Primates; Hominidae.
GGCAUGAAAUAAUCAUCUGAAAUUAUAUGCUAUUGAAAAUCAUUGGAGGAGCCGCGCAGCUCAGUUGAGAGUGACACGCACCAACUCCAGCUCCUCGCCGGGAAGACUUCAUCCCAGCAACUCGGAAUGCUUGGCCCGGGCGGCACUCGGCCUCUCCGCAGCAGUUCUCGAACUGGCCUCCUUGAACGUCCGCUUCGCCUUCGCUUCUGCAACCUGGAUCUGGGGGACUGCGGGCCAGGCGCGGCGUGACCCCUGGUGAACGGUGGCCGCCUUUUCCCACCCCUGCCCUCCCAUCCUCCCUUCCCGUUUCACCCCGCCCCCUCUCUCCUCCCCAAGCCUGACAGCCCGCGAGCUGCCAAGCAGGGCGCAG